CCCCUAGAUGUUCUGGGCCGCACGCGCGCUACACUGAACAGUUCAACAAGUCUUAACCUUGGCCGAUAGGUCUGGGUAAUCUUUGAACGCUGUUCGUGAUUGGGAUAGACCUUUGCAAUUAUGGGUCUUCAACGAGGAAUUCCUAGUAAACGCAAGUCAUCAGCUUGCAUUGAUUACGUCCCUGCCCUUUGUACACACCGCCCGUCGCACCUACCGAUUGAAUGGUCCGGUGAAAUCUCGGGACGGCGGCUUGGUCGCUUGCGUUCGACUGCUGAAACUUGAUUAAACCAUAUCAUUUAGAGGAAGGUGAANUCGUAACA
This 320-nucleotide ribosomal RNA is filed under the name uncultured eukaryote. RNAcentral describes it as "partial 18S ribosomal RNA". It matches the Rfam family "Eukaryotic small subunit ribosomal RNA", at positions 1470 to 1796 of the family's 1831-position model. The record is from RNAcentral.